AGUAACCUGCCUUGGAGUGGGGAAUAACACAUCGAAAGAUGUGCUAAUACCGCAUAAUGCAGUUGGGCCGCAUGGCUCUGACUGCCAAAGAUUUAUCGCUCUGAGAUGGACUCGCGUCUGAUUAGCUGGUUGGCGGGGUAACGGCCCACCAAGGCGACGAUCAGUAGCCGGACUGAGAGGUUGACCGGCCACAUUGGGACUGAGACACGGCCCAGACUCCUACGGAAGGCAGCAG
RNAcentral lists this ribosomal RNA (235 nucleotides) under uncultured bacterium. RNAcentral's name for it is "partial 16S ribosomal RNA". It matches the Rfam family "Bacterial small subunit ribosomal RNA", at positions 120 to 354 of the family's 1533-position model. The record is from RNAcentral.